CCUACGGGAGGCAGCAGUAGGGAAUCUUCCGCAAUGGACGAAAGUCUGACGGAGCAACGCCGCGUGAGUGAAGAAGGUUUUCGGAUCGUAAAACUCUGUUGUUAGAGAAGAACAAGUGCUAGAGUAACUGUUAGCGCAUUGACGGUAUCUAAACAGAAAGCCAAGGCUAACUACGUGCCAGCAGCCGCGGUAAUACGUAGGUGGCAAGCGGUGUCCGGAUUUAUUGGGCGGAAAGCGAGUGGAGGCGGUUCCUUAAGUCUGAUGUGAAAGCCCCCGGCUCAACCGGGGAGGGUCAUUGGAUACUGGCGAACUUGAGUGCAGAAGAGGAGAGUGGAAUUCCAUGUGUAGCGGUGAAAUGCGUAGAUAUAAGGAGGAACACCAGUGGCGAAGGCGACUCUCUGGUCUGUAACUGACGCUGAGGCUCGAAAGCGUGGGUAGCAAACAGGAUUAGAUACCCGAGUAGUC
This 465-nucleotide ribosomal RNA is filed under the name uncultured bacterium. RNAcentral describes it as "partial 16S ribosomal RNA". It matches the Rfam family "Bacterial small subunit ribosomal RNA", at positions 338 to 795 of the family's 1533-position model. The record is from RNAcentral.